CGAAAGGAGGCUGCCGCCUGUCCCCUCUCUCUGCCACCCUGGGCCCGAACCAGUCCCCACCCAGCAGCUUAGAGGUGCUUUAAUGGGCAAAAUGGAGGCAACUUCUUGCCCGGGAAACCCCGCCCCGGCAAGUUUGCAGCUGCCCUUUGCUCUACGCAGCCGUUUCGGCAGAGGCAGUUCCCCGGAUGACCGACAGAUGGCGCUAAACCUUCACUAUAGCCUUCCUGUUCUCCUGAGACUCUUCAGGGCCCUGACUGAUACAGGAGGAGUGCCUGCCAUGAGCUGUACCUGCUUAGGAUCCAGAGGAGAUCGGAAGGAGUGCUAGCGUUUGGAAGUCCAUGGGCACAAAUCACCCAAAAGUGAUGAACACCCCUCCCCAACCUGAGAGCGAGCCAAAGAACCAUCCAUUUCUUGCUCUGCUCUCAUAUGCCCAUUGAAGAGGCUCUCUGAGCUCAGAGAAGUCUGAGAAUCCAGCCAUUCAAAGGCUGA
Prionailurus viverrinus (fishing cat) is the source of this 489-nucleotide long non-coding RNA. RefSeq lists it as uncharacterized. Lineage: Eukaryota; Metazoa; Chordata; Mammalia; Carnivora; Felidae. The record is from RefSeq and is a predicted model, not a curated record. The transcript has 4 exons.